Molecule: ribosomal RNA, 114 nt
Filed under: Lepisosteus oculatus (spotted gar)
Lineage: Eukaryota; Metazoa; Chordata; Actinopteri; Semionotiformes; Lepisosteidae
Source: RNAcentral
GUCAGCAGCCAUAUCACCCUGCAACUCACAACUGGCAACCCACUGAAGCUAAGCAGGUGUGAGCCUGUACCUGGAUGGGAGACCUCCUGGGAAAAACUAAGGUUGCUGCUGGAA